ACAUGAUCAGCUACAAUGUUCCACCCCUCCUUAUCACCCAGCUACCCAUCCAUCCGCAGACCUCUCUCCCCAGUGUCAUGGAGCUGUGGCAGAAGGCUUCCUCCUGCAGGCCACUCCACCUCCCCAGAUUCCCUGCCCAGGACCAAGCUAGAUGAGGCCUCAAGUUAGACAUGUCCCCACGCUCCACAGCAACCACUGACAGCUAUCUUUGAGACACAUUCCUUACUCAGAGCCCUUUCUAAGCCACCGACCAAGUCCCAAGAGACCCUCUCCACCUCCUUCCCCACCUUGUAGAGGGACAGGGCAGUGCAGUCUGGUCCCUCGGUUCCUCAUCUGUGACAUGAGAUAAAGUGAAGCCACAGCCUCCUCCUGGAGGAGACAGAAGCAGAGGAAAUGCCUGCUGGUGCCCAGAGAGGCUGGAUAACAUUGCCAAAGCCACACAGAGGACUAAAGAGAGAGGCUGGAGCAGGAAGACAGGGUGCAGAAGCAUUUGGACACAUAAAUUAGGUCAGCCGCCGGGGGCCAGG
This 527-nucleotide long non-coding RNA is filed under the name Mus pahari (shrew mouse). RNAcentral's name for it is "lncRNA (MGP_PahariEiJ_G0003784.1)". Lineage: Eukaryota; Metazoa; Chordata; Mammalia; Rodentia; Muridae. The record is from RNAcentral.